GACGAACGCUGGCGGCGUGCUUAACACAUGCAAGUCGAACGGUGAAAGCGGAGCUUGCUCCGCUGGAUCAGUGGCGAACGGGUGAGUAACACGUGGGCAACCUGCCCUUCACUUCGGGAUAACUCCGGGAAACCGGGGCUAAUACCGGAUAUGACCUCUGCGGGCAUCCGCGGAGGUGGAAAGUUUUUCGGUGAAGGAUGGGCCCGCGGCCUAUCGGCUUGUUGGUGAGGUAGUGGCUCACCAAGGCCACGAAGGGUAGCCGGCCGGAGAGGGCGAGCGGCCACACUGGGACGGAGACACGGCCAAGACUCCUAGGGGAGGCAGCAGUGGGGAAUAUUGCGCAAUGGGCGAAAGCCUGACGCAGCAACGCCGCGUGGGGGAUGACUGCCUUCGGGUUGUAAACCGCUUUCAGCAGGGAAGAAGCCGCAAGGUGACGGUACCUGCAGAAGAAGCACCGGCUAACUACGUGCCAGCAGCCGCCGUAA
This 485-nucleotide ribosomal RNA is filed under the name uncultured bacterium. RNAcentral describes it as "partial 16S ribosomal RNA". It matches the Rfam family "Bacterial small subunit ribosomal RNA", at positions 28 to 523 of the family's 1533-position model. The record is from RNAcentral.